AUGGCGGGGAUUGGCCACGCGCCGACCAUCCCAUGGCCCUCCCUGAGGGAUAAGAUCGCCUCCCCACAACCCCGCGCCUGCAUCGACGCCGACGACCCCUUCUUCAACCUGGGACCUCCAUCGUCGCUGCCGUCGAAUUCCGGCCACACAGAGCCUCCCACGAGCACGCGGUGCGCACCUGCAGGCCCGUUGUGA
Molecule: ribosomal RNA, 195 nt
Filed under: Triticum aestivum (bread wheat)
Lineage: Eukaryota; Viridiplantae; Streptophyta; Magnoliopsida; Poales; Poaceae
Description: partial small subunit ribosomal RNA
Source: RNAcentral